GUGCUUGCUUGAGCAGUAUAUAUACUAAAAUUGGAAAUGAUACAGAGAUGAUUACCAUGGCCUCAGUGCAAGGACACACAAAUUUGUGAAACAUUCCAUAUUAAA
Molecule: small nuclear RNA, 105 nt
Filed under: Myotis brandtii (Brandt's bat)
Lineage: Eukaryota; Metazoa; Chordata; Mammalia; Chiroptera; Vespertilionidae
Source: RNAcentral